RNAcentral lists this ribosomal RNA (60 nucleotides) under Robillarda sessilis. Its description in RNAcentral is "partial 28S ribosomal RNA". Lineage: Eukaryota; Fungi; Ascomycota; Sordariomycetes; Amphisphaeriales; Sporocadaceae. The record is from RNAcentral.
GACCUCGGAUCAGGUAGGAAUACCCGCUGAACUUAAGCAUAUCAAUAAGCCGGAGGAAAG